GACAGAGGUGCCAAGCGUUAGGCGGAAUCACUGGGCUUAAAGCGUGUGUAGGCGGAAGGGUAAGUACCUUGUGAAAUCCCACGGCUCACCCGUGGAACCGCUGGGUAUACUGCUCUUCUUGGGCCACUCAGGGGCGACUGGAACAAGCGGUGGAGCGGUGAAAUGCGUAGAUAUCGCUUGGAACGCCGAAGGUGAAAACAGGUCGCUGGGAGUGCGCCGACGCUGAGACACGAAAGCCAGGGGAGCAAACGGG
Molecule: ribosomal RNA, 253 nt
Filed under: uncultured bacterium
Lineage: Bacteria
Description: partial 16S ribosomal RNA
Rfam family: Bacterial small subunit ribosomal RNA
Source: RNAcentral